This is a long non-coding RNA of Loxodonta africana (African savanna elephant), 12343 nucleotides long. RefSeq lists it as uncharacterized. NCBI's taxonomy places the organism in Eukaryota, Metazoa, Chordata, Mammalia, Proboscidea, Elephantidae. The record is from RefSeq and is a predicted model, not a curated record. The transcript is spliced from 5 exons.
UUUCUUUUCUUUUUUAAGUGAGCAAAAGUUGAGCUGAUGAGAACUUAGCCCAUAUGGUUUGUUGUCCCCAGAAUGGAUCAGUUUCAUCAUAGUGCCUGGGCAAUUUCGCUACACAUUAAUGUGAAAUAUUAUGAAUGUUUUAACUAAGCUAUCAACUGUGAAAUAUUUUAUCCAAAACAUUACAAUUACAAAGGUGAUAAUAGAAACAGUUUAAACCAGGAGAGAAUGCUCUGUUAAAGAGGAUUAGAAAGACCAUUUAUUGAAUAGUAUGGAUUUCUCCCAAGCCCCUGUGUGCAGAAAGCAUGCAAUGCGUGAAUAAUUCAUCUAGAAAUUCUAUCGUGAAGUUGUAUCAGUUUCCACAGUAAAACCUGGCCGUGGAGGAGGAAAAUACAUCAACAUCUGUGACAAGCUCUAUGAAGAGACAGUGGCAAAGCCUUUCAGGCACCAGGAGCAAAGCAAAAUAUAAUAAAUUCACUUAAGUGUCAAAUUUGUGUCGGCUGAAUAAUGACACCAUAUGUCUGGGUUGUUAUGUCACCAUAGACUGCUCUGAAAAAAACACAUGGCUUUAUAAAAAUGGCUGUCAGCUGGGGAAGAAACCUUGUUGGCUACUGCCUUCCUGUCAGAGAAAACAGAAGACUGCCCAAUGAGUGCUGUGUCUGAUGAUCAGAAACUAUUGUUUUCUUAAAAAAUCAAUUUGUCCGCAUCUGGAGUCACCCUGCUGUUUGGGCUUGGGAGUGCAAAGUUGAAGAGGCUGUGCUAGUUGCCUUAUCCUUUAAAUGAGGCCUUUCCUGCAUGGGUGCUGAUGAUACGCCUUGUCUUUCUAAAGCUCUCUGAGGGACUCUCCUCAAGGAUCUUUUCUCAUUAAUCCUAACAGCAUCCCCACGAGGAAAUCUAGGACUCAGGUGUUGUUUUGCUCCAGGAUAAACUGAGGCACAGAGAGGUUAUGGUCACAUUGGCCCUUCCGUGGCCCGUUCUGGCAGCAACCCAGAGUUCUUUGCUGCAGGCAGUUAGCAUCCGGCCAGGCAGGCCAGACACUCUAAGAAGGAUUUGCCUUUCUCUCCUGCCGCUCUGCUGGUGUGUACAGUGCUGGCCAUACGCCCAUCUCAUGGCUACUUCCUCACUCUAGAGGUUCUUCCCCUUGGUCCAACAGCCACGUGAGUGGGGAUUUUGCAGAUUGCACAAUGGGAAGCUGGUACGAGAGUUUUCAUGCUUGGAUGCAGGCAGACCCAAUUAUGGUGAUUACGUUCAAGUCAACUGCUCUAAAAGCCUCGGGGCUCUGGAGAGUACAUAGGCCCACCCAUAGGCAAACAACAGCACUGGCUCAGGGCUCUCGGCCUGGAUUUUCCAUCACGAGCAGUCCAGUGGUACUCAGAUUGUGGCAAAGAUGAAGCAUUUGGAAUGCGUUAUACUGAGCUUUGAUCCCAAGGGCAUAGGCAGGACCAAAAAAACUGUGUGAACUAAUUUGUGGCUCAGCAGUAAAGGUGGACAGGUUGGCGGUUUUAACCUACCCAGUGGCUCUGCAGGAGAAAGACCUGGCAAUCUGUUUCCAUAAAGAUUAUAGUCUCGAAAACCCUAUGGGGCAGUUCUACUCUGUCACGUGGGGUUUCUAUGAGCUGAAAACCAGCUCUACAGUGUAUAACAACAUAUUUAUACAUAUUUAUAGUUGCAUGUAAGAGCAUUCCCUUCAAAAUUUAAAAACACCAAACUAACUCUUUUUUUUUUUUGAAUAUAGGUAGUUUUUAUUGUGUUUGUAUUGCUUUUUCUUAAAAAAAAAAUUGUGGUAAAAUAUAUAAAACAAAAAUUGCCAUUAAAAAAUGUUUAAAUGUACAAUUCAGUGACAUUAAUUAAAUUCACUUCAGCAACCAUCACCACUAUCGAUUUCCAAACGUUUUUCGUCACCCAAAACAGAAACUCAGUACCCAUUAAGCAAUAACUCCCCAUUCUCCUCUCCCCAACCCCUGGUAAGCAUUAAUAAACUUUUGUCUCUAUGCCUUUGUCGCUUCUAGAUAUUCCAUGUAAGUGGGAUCAUGCAGUAUUCAUCCUUUUGUGUCAGACAUUUCACUUGGCAUAAUAUUUCAAGAUUCAUCUACAUUACAGUAUGUAUCAGGACUUCAUUUCUCUUUAUGGGUGACGUAAAUGAACAUUUAAACAAUAAUCAUUUUGAGUGGUUCCCAAGAAAAUUAUACAUAUCUGAAUCGCUUGGAGUGCUUUUCCAUGUUUUUUAUGUAUGUAUCUAUGUCUAUGAGCCCUGGUGGGGCAAUGGUUCACUGCUUUGCUGCUAAUCGAAUGGUUGGUGGUUCAAACCCACCAGUGGCUCUGAGGGAGGAAAGACCUGGUGAUUUGCUCCUGUAAAGAUUACAGUCUAGGAAACCCUAUGGGGCAGUUGUACUCUGUCCUACAGGGUUGCUAUGGGAUCAACUCAAUGGCACACAACAACAGCAACAUGUCUUUGCCUAUGUCUCUGACUAUGUCUCCAUCUGUCUUUGUCUCCGUCUCUCUCUCUGUCUUUAUAUACCUAUACCCCUAGAGACUCUGAUUCAGUGGGCCUGGAGCCCAGCCUGGGAACAGAGAUUUUAAAACUCCUCUGACCAGUCACUCUGCUGUGUAAUGAAUGAUGAUUCUUCAGAGGGCUGCGCCUGCCCUAGUUCUUCUACUCUUGCCACUUGGGAGAAUAAAACAUCAAAUGCAAAGUUGUACAGAUAAAAAAGAAUUGUGGUUUCCUGACCAGACAGAGGUGUUUUCCAGUCAGCAGUGUAAUGUAAAGUCACAGAGGAGAUAAUAUAAAUGCAACAGUUCUGACUGACUGACUGAAAAGUGAAGUUUAAGAAAAUGCACACGAAGCCAGGAUAUUUCCGAUCAAUCCCCUCCCCACACCCUAGUCCUUCCCAGAUUUUUGUAGAAUAACCUAAUUCUCUUUAAUUCCCUUGAAACCAGUCCAAGAAUGGAGGUUAUGCAGACUAAAGAUGCUGCAUAUUAAGAAGUGGAAUCUAUUUCUCCACUCCCUUGAACCUGGGCUGAGAACGUGACUGUUGUAAUCAGCAGAAUACAGGAGAAGUGAUGCUGUGUCCCUUCUAGGCCUAAGCCUUUGGAAAGACUGGUUGCUUGUGCUUCAGUCUGGGGUUUUCCUCUCAAAGCCCAGCCACCAUGUUGAUGAGAAGCCCAAACCACGUGGAGAGGCCACAUUUAGGCAUUUUGUCCAAUAAUCUUGGUUAAACUCCUAGCCAAGAGCCAGUAUCAACUGUCAGCUGUGUGAGUGAACUGCUUUGAGUGUUCCAGCCCAAUGAAGCCCCCAGAUGAUUGCAGCCCAAGCCAAUAUCACAUGGGGCAGAAGUAUCACCCCACUGAUCUCAGACAACCCACAGAAUCACAAAAAUUAACAAAAUAGUAGUUGCUUAAGCUACUAAGUAUUGGGGUGGUUUGUUAUGCAACAGUAGAUAACUGAAACAGAAGGUCAGUGUAUUCCUUAGUCCAUACUGGUCUGAAGGUGAAAAACUGGAUCACAAUUAGAAUUUCAAAAUAGUAUUUUUGGCUGUACUUUCACUUACUUUGUGGGAACUUAGUCCUCCCAUAUCUUCCCCACAUAAUUUUUCUAAGGGGUGUCUGGGAUACAUGAGUUGGAAACCAGUCCUUUUGGCCACCAUGUGACACUGGCAGUUUUUUUUAAUUCUCACUCUGAUGAAAUCUCUGAGGUGAUGUCUCAUUUCCCCGCUGAUACUAAGUGUAGUAGCCUGGACCACAAUGUCUCUGAAUCCACGACUGCUAUUGACAGCCAUGAUGACUGUGCUAAGGUUGUGGAUGACCAAGGUGAAGCCCUGAGAUCUAUAUCAGGGUGCCAUCUCCAUUGCUCACGAGGCUGCUGGUAGCAUUGCAGCUUUGUGUUUGAAAGAUCCCAUGAGGAUUCUAGGAAACAGUUCAUUAUUAUAAUAUCCUUAUACUUAAGUAAUAAAUGUUUGUACAAUUGAACUAAGGAGUUGAGUCAUACCAUUCAUAUAUCUUAUUAAUUUCUUGGUGAGGGAGGAUUAAAAAAGAUGUAAAUUAAGAAUGCUGCAGGUGUUGCUGGAUGGUGCGAAUGGUUAAUACAUUUGGCUGCCAACUGGAAGGUUGGCAGUUCAAAUUCACCUACAGGCACUUGGAAAAAAGGACCUGGUGACCUACUUCCAAAAAAUUAGCCAUUGAAAACUCUGUGGAGCACAGCUCUACUGUGACACACAUGAGGUCGCUAUUAGUCGGAACUGACUCAACAGCAACUAGUUUCUAUGUGUUGCUAAAGUUGAAACACUGAGUCUGCCAAGAACCUGACCAGACAAAUUGUUAUAACAGGGUCCAGUUAGGGACACUUCUCAAUCAGGUUUUCCUCAGCAGAAAUUUAUGCUUUACAUGAGUGAGCUAAAAUAUUUGACUUGCUUUCUAUUGUUUAAACAAUACCAGUAGACAAUGAAAGAUUUUUCUCUUUAGAUUUCAACAAUAAUCUUAACAAUGUCCCAGCCUAACAACUAGGAAAUAUUUAAGAAACAAAGGCUUGAAAUCCAGAAGGAAACAGGUUUUAGUGUCUAAGGUACUAAUUAAAUCGAGUUUGGUACCUUAUUUAUUACAACCAUAUCUGGGAAAUAGUUAUAUGUACUCACUUCCUUUUUCUCUCAUCUAAAGGAACUGUGUCUUCUUCUUGGACUAAAGUUGAAACAAAUGUAAGGAAAAGUAAUUGAAGUAUAGGAUCAUUGGUUAAAAAUAUGAGGAUAUACGCAAAUUUAUUGAUAGGAAAAUGGGAGAACAAGAGAGAAUGAGUAAACAUUGGGCAAGAGGGUCAAGAUAGAGUUGUCUUCUGAGAUUAUGUUGCAGAACAGAUCAACUCUCUUGUACGUGUUUUUGGAAGAGUGGAAUAGAGGAGAAAGCCUGUGUUUCCUGGGCAGCCAGGCAUCAAGAGAUUAAUGAGAAAAUGAAGGAGACCUUUCUGCCUGAAACAGAACGCUCUUUGAAGUUCUCCUUGAAGAUACUAAGAGAAACAAGAGCAGAAAAGGAUUCUACUAGCUGAUUAGGCUACUUCCUACAGUAAUACAGUGAUUGGACAAUGAUUAAUCCCCUGUGACAUUGAUGCAUUGUCAGUGGCAUGAAAUAUCUUAGAAAAAUUAAAAGCAAGUCAGAAAGAACUGAAAAAUGAACUUUUUUUUUUAACUUCAAUUAAAAAAAUAAUUUUUGGGCCCACCUUCAGAAAGUCAAAAACUAAUGCUGGAGAAUUAGUGCUAAAUAUUUUUAAAAGUAAACUGUUUGAGUUCCUCUGAGUUGUAUUAAACUUGGUAAUUUUCAUAAUACAGUAUGAAUAGGCCCUCUCUUAGUUAACUUGGCUACUUUUCCUCAUAAUGAACAUCUGGUUAAAUUCUUAUGUACAAAUGUAAAGGAAUUACAUUUUUUGGAGAUACAGUUCUAGGAGUCCACUUGACACUUGGAACUCUCUUUACCUGCCAAAAGAUGCUCUGAUAACUUUCAAAACUUGAGACUUGCUUUGUCAGACACAUUGGCAAUAGGCCUACAUUUGAGGAGUAGGCCUUUUAGAAGUAGGACCCCUUAGCCAAUUUGGAAGAUCAUGAAUUUUUGUUGGAACAAUGAAGUUGAGUUCUAAACCCUUUUACCACAUGUUAUAAAUAUUAACAAUGAAGGUAAUGUGGGUGGUGGAGACUUUUUUGAAAUGGUGAUUUCAAUAUUGGCUGAGAUAAUAAUAAAGUCAUUCACUGAGAAGCAGUACAGGAGGUUAUUUUAGUUUUACAUUUGCUUUAUUUUUAAUAAAGGAAAAAGAACAAGAAACAACUUCAGAAUAGUAAUCAAGUUUAUGGAGGCAAUACUAAUGGGCUAGGCCAAAUUGCACAACUAUUUAUAGUUUGAAAAUUUGAGGAAGAACAUUGGUGAGUAGUCAAGAAGACAGGCUCUGUAGCAGAUUGCCUGGGUUUAAACAAAGCUCUGCCACUUACAAGCUGAGUGAACUUAAGGCAUAUAGAAGUUUCUUUUAGGUCCUUGGGAAGAGGGUAGAGAAUUGAGUGAAUUUCUACAAUUAUCAAUGCAAUCAAGGUGCAUUGGUAAUUACUGGUGAUUAGAAUGUGAAAGUUGGAAAUGAAGAAGAAGGAUCAGUAGUUGGAAAAUAUGGCCUUGAUUAUAGAAACCACACUGGAGAUUGUGUGAUAGAAUUUUGCAAGACCAAUGACUUAUAUUCAUUGUAGAUAACCUUUUUCAACAACAUAAAUGGCAACUAUACAUGUGAAUCCUCACUGGAUGGAAAACACAGGAAAAAAAUCAACUACAUCUGUAGAAAAAGACAACAGAAAAACUCAAUAUCAUCAGUCAGAACAAGACCAGGGGAUGGCUGCAGAACAGACCGUCAAUUGCUCAUAUGCAACGUCAAGUUGAAGCUGAAAAAAUUAAAACAAGUCCACGAGAGCUAAAAAAUGACCUUGAGUGUAUCCCACCUAAAUCUGGAGAUCAUCUCAAGAAUAGAUUUGACACAUCGAACACUAGUGACCGAAGACAGGAUGAGUUGUGGGAUGACACCAAGGACAUCAUACAUGAAGAAAGCAAAAGGUUAUUAAAAAGACAGGAAAGAAAGGAAAGACAAAAAUGGAUGACAGAAGAGACUCUGAAAUUCGCUCUUGAAUGUAGAGUAGCUAAAGCAAAUGGAAGAAAUGAUGAAGUAAAAGAGCUGAACAGAAUAUUUCAAAAGGCAGCUUGAGAAGACAAAGUAUUAUAGUGAAAUUUGCAAAGACCUAGAGUAAGAAAAUCAAAAGGGAAGAACACUUAGCAUUUCUCAAGCUGAAAGAACUGAAGUCAAGCUUCGGGUUGCAAUUUUGAAGGAUUUUGUAAGCAAAAUAUUGAACGACACAGGAAGCAUCAAAAGAAGAUGGAAGGAAUACACACAGUCACUCUACCAACAAGAAUUGGUUGACAUUCAACUGUUUUAGGAGGUACCAUAUGAUCAAGAACCGAUGACAUUGAAGGAAGAAGUCCAAGCUGCCCUGGUAAAAAACGAGGCUCCAGGAACUGACGGAAUACAAAUUGAGAUAUCUCAACAAAUGGAUGCAUCACUGGAGGUGCUCACUUGUCUAUGCCAAGAAUUUUGAAAGACAGCUACCUGGCCAUCAGAUUGGGUGAGAUCCUUAUUUGUGCCCAUUCCAAAGGUGAUCCAAUGGAGUGUGGAAAUUAUAGAACAGUAUCAUUAAUAUCACACACAAGUAAAAUUUUGCUGAAGAUCAUUAAAAAAUGGUUGCUGCAGUACAUUGACAAAGAACUGCUAAAAAUUCAAGCCAGAUUUAAAAGUGAAUAUGGAAUGAGGGCUUUAUUGCUGAUGUCAGAUGGAUCUUGGCUGAAAGCAGAGAAUACCAGAGAGACGUUUACCUGUGUUUUAUUGACUAUGCAAAGGCAUUCGACUGUGUGGAUCAUAACAAAUUAUGGAUAACAUUGUGUGAAGAAUGGGAAUUCCAGAACACUUAAUUGUGCUUAUGUGGAACCUGUACAUGGGCCAAGAGGCAGUCAUUCAAACAGAACAAGGGGAUAGUAUGUGGUUUAAACCUAAGAAAGAUAAUACAACCUUGCUUGCUGAAAGUAAAGAGGACUUGAAGUCCUUACUGAUGAAGAUCAAAGAUUAGAGCCUUCACUACAUCUCAACGUAAAGAAUACAAAAAUCCUCACAACUGGACCAGAAAAUAUUAUGUAUGCAAUUUCAACAUUUUCCAAACUGCGAGACAUUCAGCUGAUGACUCCGCUUCUUUGUCUCCAGCCACUCCGUCUUUUGGGUGUAAACCAUACAGUUCCCCUUCUUAGCUCACAGGGUGACUUGUGAGAGAGCUCGUAGACAUGCUAUUGCAGUAUGUGUACCUCAUGUCUUCCUCCUAUAAGGACCUGAUGGCUUCCUGUGAGAACAGCUGAAUCUCCUCUCAUGCCAUGUUCCUGGUGCACAUGGGAAUGGAUGACAUAUUAAGCUCUUUCUAUUCUAUGGGGUUUAAGUCACUAAUGUGCUAGAUGGUCAAGUAUAAGAAUUACAACAUUAGACUUUCAUAGAAGGUCUCUCAAAGGACCUUGUUAGAAGCCGUGUGUUUUUACACUGUGAAUGCCUUAUAAGGACAGCUAUGAAAAUGUUAACCAAUACAAAAGGUCAUUUUGAACACUAGGAAAGAGUACCAGAAAUCAAGUAAAGGAUAUGCAUUGAAUUCUAGUUUGACUUCAAACUAGCUGUAUGACCUUGAGUAAGCCAACUGAGUUUUCUGAGCCUCAGUUUAUCCAUUCAUUAAAUGGAACAAAUCACAAAUUUACAGGGAUUAAACAAGAUAUCAAAAAAUCAUUUUGAAAAGUGUAAUGCUCUUUAUUGGCAUAAUAUGAUGGGGUGUAAGAAAAGAUGCACCUUCUGGAUGGUGGUACAUUUUCUAUUUUGACCAAUGGAAGAACAGGAGAAUGGGUUUACUUUGUAGGAGGAGGAAAGUAGGUUAGGCAUAAUGUAGCAUGUAGGAAAAAAACAUUGGUCUGGAAUGAGAGAGUUAACCUUUUAAUCUUGCUUCAGUCAUCUCCUGUCUGUGUGAUCUUGGGCAAUUCAUGGAAGAUUAAGCCUUUUGGGGGAGCUUAAACCUGUUGCCAUUGAGUUGAUUCCAACUCAUAACAACCCAAAGGACAGAGCAGAACUGCCCCAUCGAGUUUCCAAAGAGUGCCUGUUGGAUUUGAACUGCUGAUCUUUUGGUUAGCAGCCGUAGCACUUAACCAUUAUGCCACCAGGGUUUCCUUGGGGGGUCUUAAUUACCUAAUUUCUAAAACAAAGAGGUUUUAACAAAAUGUUUCUCAAAGUCUUUCUUCCACUCCUAUGAUACAUGAUGUAUGUACAUAUAUAUAUAAAUAAAAAACAAACCCAUUGCUGUCGAGUCCAUUCCAACUCAUAACAACCCUAUAGGACAGAGUAGAACUGCCACAUAGAGUUUCCAAGGACUGCCUGGUGGAUUCAAACUGCUAACCUUUUGGUUAGCAGCCAUAGCUCUUAACCAUCAUGCCAACAGGAUUUCCAUAUAUAUAUAUUUAUAUUUAUACACACACACACAUAUAUAUACAUAUAUACAUACAACAGAACACUUAUGUAUAUACAUGUAUAUACAUACAACAGAACACUUGAGAACUACCUGUAUUUAUGGAGAUAUGUACAUUUUAAAUUAUGCUGAACUUCAUCUGUCAUGAAUAGUAAGUGCUAUCUACCUGGGAAGUGAAAAAAAAAUCUGCUAAUUUCUCUCUGGAGUUCCCUACAGCCUACAGGUUUUCUGGUACCUGGAGCCUUGGUGGCGCAGUGGUUAAGAGUUUGUCUGCUAACCAAAAGGUCAGCAGUUCGAAUCCACCAGCCACUCCUUGGAAACCCUGUGGGGCAAUUUUCCUCUGUCCUAUAGGGUCACUAUGAGUUAGAAUCCACUUGACAGCAACAGCUUUGGGUUUUGGUCUUUAUUUUGAACUGUUUGUAGAUAGAGAGAAUGUAUAUUUUUAAUUCAAUAGACACAUGCUCUGGUGAGACCUUUGUCUCAAGUAAAAGUAAGGUAAACCUCACUGUAUACUUUGAGAAAAUGUUUUGCUUAUUUUGAGUCUGGCCUUGUUACAGCAAUCUUGAAAAAAAAAAAGUUAUACAUACUGCAGUGGGUUGAAUAGUGGUCCCUCAAAAGAUAUGUCCAUCCAUACCUUUGGUAUCACCUUAUUUGGAAAAAAAAUACUUUGCAGAUGUAAUUAAGUGAAGGAUAUUGAGAUGAGAUUAUCCUGGAAUCGGGUGAGACCUAAAUCCAGUGACAAAUUUUCUUACCAGAGAAAGGCAGAGGGAGAACUGAGGCACACAAAGCAGAGGACUAAGUGAAGAUGGAGGCAGAGACUGGAGUGAUGCAGCCACAAGCCAAGGAGCCACCAGAAGCUGGAAAAGACAAGGGAGGACUCACUCCUAGAGCACAGCCCUGCCAACACCUUGAUUUCAGACUUCAGGCAUCUAGAUCUUGAGAGAAUAAAUUUCUGUUGUUUUAUGCCACUUCGUGGUAAUCUGUUGCUGCAAUCCUAGGAAAUUAAUACACGUACUCCUUUUCUUCUUUCAUUAUAAACCUUUUUCCCACUGGAUACAUUAACUAGAUUUAAAUGAUUUUAAACUAUUGCAGAAAAGUAGGCAUAUUUCUAGAGUUAAAUACCUAAGUUAUAGGUGCUUAUGGCAUUGAAGGGUUAAUAGCUAUCAGCAUGCCAAUAUGUUUUUAGUUUCUUAUUGAGAGGAGUUUUCUGGGUUGUCAGAGAAGUACUUAUAAAAAUUCUCAACAGUACCUCAAUAUCAGCAGAGGAUUUUCUAAAGAGAAGCCUUUUCCUGACAAUAAUGAAUGAUUCUCCCUUAAUCUUAAGUAACCAAAAAAAGAAAAAAAACAAACCCAGCACCGUCGAGUCGAUUCUGACUCAUGGCGACCCUAUAGGACAGAGUAGAACUGCCCCAUAGAGUUUCCAAGGAGUGCUUGGCGGAUCCAAACUGCCGACCCUUUCUUUGGUUAGCAGCCGUAGCACUUAACCAUUACACCACCAGGGUUUCCAAUCUUAAGUAAAAGUGGACCUAAAUGAGGAAGGUCUGCAUGUCCAUGAUUAUCACCCCGACAAUAUUUAAUGUCAGAUAGGAUCAUUCCAUGACAGAAGAGAGUGGGAAAUUAUAUGUACACAUAAAUGUGUAGAUGUAUGCAUGUAUGUGCAUGUGUGUGGUAUGUGUAUAUGCAUGUAUAUGUUUAAAUGCUUAUUAAUAAAGAGGGUUAAACCCAUUGCUGUCCCAUAGCAACCCUACAGGACAGAGUAGAACUGCCCCACAGGGUUUCCAAGGAGUGGCUGGUGGAUUUGAACUGCCAACAUUUUGGUUAGCAGCCAAACGCUUAACCACUGUGGGUUAAGAGGGUUAAUAUACUUCAUCACCUUGCUUCUUAUGAUGAAGUCAGUGAAAAGUCUCUGAGAAAGCUCUUUUUUCAGAAAAUGCCAUGGGCCACAUUGAUGUAAGCGGACAUAAAUGAAAUAAAGUGUUGCUAUAUUUUUUUUAUAGUUGCCAGAAAAGUUCUCAUUUCUCUCACAGAUCUAAGAUUCAUCCAGUUAAUACGAAGACAGGAUUCUGUUCCUUUAUUUUGUUCCCUACAAAGUACUUAUUACCUAUCUGGAACUUUGUAAUCUUCACCAUGCAGUUCUGUGAGUCACACAGCUGAGAAUCGUUCUGUUUACUUAUAUACAGUUGCCUAAUGUGCGUUAGAACUCAUAUAUAAUUACAGUCAAUGUGUGUUUCUAAAGAUAAACUUGUGGUAAGCUUGGGCUCUUCUGCUGCUACAAAAAUGUUCACAUGAAGGAAAAAAAAGUUUCUUUUGACAAUAUUUAAAUCCUUUUUCAACCAGAGAAAAAUUUAUUUACGUUCACCUUUAAAAUACACCUUGAUGAGGAUGCAGACAGACGCCGAACAUUGCUAAAGGCUAUUUCCUGGCUUGGGAAUUGGAUUGAGCUGGCUGACUGAACAGUUCAGUGACAUGGAUUUAGAAGGACUGCACUUCCCUCAGACAAGAGGAAUCAUGAGAUAAGCUCUGGAAGCAAGUCAAGGAUUUUUGUGGUGAAACUUAUGUGGUCCCACUGAGCAGGAGAACUUGUAGGCAGUCUUUUUUUUUUUUUUAAUUGAUUUUGAAAUUGAGGUUUACGAACCACAAAGAUUGCCUGCAGAUGUUAACAGUCCUCUUUAGGUGUUAAUUGGCAAAAAGGUAAUUUAAUUGGCAAAAAGCUAAAUUAGCACAGAGAUGUAGAAGAAGGAUGACAUCAGGCCAACAGACAGCUAAAGAAUUUUCUUGCACAAGGUUACUUCCCUUUUCAGAGAAAAAUAUUUUUUUGGCAGUUAGAGAAUUCUUUUUCUAAUAGCACAUUCUCGUUUUUGAAAUUAUUAGCAGAAGGCUUGAGGUGGCAGUGCAGCCACAUGAGGCUCUAGCCCCGUUUGGGGCCACCUCCCACAUUCCCGUAGUUUGAGAAAUAACUCUUUGCCUGAAAAAAUUGGGAGGAAGCCCAGUUCUGGCCACGGAGGGCGCUGACAGCGCUUUGAAGGGAAUGGCACCUGCCCUUGGCGCCUGGCCUGAGGCAACAUGGCGCUGAAGCUUCAGCGCUGAGUCUGGCGGCGUGGGCUGGAGUUUUCCAGUUGCGUGGGAGAACUCGGUCCUUACGCAACGACUUUCGCUAGUACAUGUUUUGGGUUUUGCCCAUAUAUGCAACUCCAAACCCAAAAAUGUAAGGCUCAUUUGUGGUUACUAGGAUGGAACCUGAUGGAAAAUUUGAGCAAAAGCACAAAAAAUUCAUGUUAAAAAAAAAAAAAAUCCUUUGG